RNAcentral lists this non-coding RNA (21 nucleotides) under Caenorhabditis elegans. The record is from RNAcentral. Lineage: Eukaryota; Metazoa; Nematoda; Chromadorea; Rhabditida; Rhabditidae.
UACGAGAAAACAAGUGAAUCG